UCCCUAGUCGAUAUUAUACUCAGUCUCUUCCAUCUUUCUAGAUUACAACCUUCAAAUUCUGACUGCUCUAGACCAGCAGCUCAAGAUGGAGAGGGCGUAAGCACAGCUCGAAUAUGUCCCUAAUGCCGCGCAUAGGGACGGGUGUGCCGACCAAAUGGCGUCUGCUGCAGGGGACACCCAGAUUUUAGAGGAAGAGGAGGAACUCGAUCUGCUUGACUGGUUUGGGGGCCUUGUUGAAUGCGGCAAUGAGUUCCUCAAACCACGGAGCCAGAGCGGAGGAGGUAUAUCACACAGCAUAGUUCGUGUACCUAGGGAGGUGGUUGCUGUGGCGGGAUCCGAGGGCACACGACCGCAAAGGCAUGCGG
This is a long non-coding RNA of Schistocerca piceifrons (Central American locust), 365 nucleotides long. RefSeq lists it as uncharacterized. The transcript is spliced from 3 exons. NCBI's taxonomy places the organism in Eukaryota, Metazoa, Arthropoda, Insecta, Orthoptera, Acrididae. The record is from RefSeq and is a predicted model, not a curated record.